Molecule: ribosomal RNA, 253 nt
Filed under: uncultured bacterium
Lineage: Bacteria
Description: partial 16S ribosomal RNA
Rfam family: Bacterial small subunit ribosomal RNA
Source: RNAcentral
UACGAAGGGGGCAAGCGUUGUUCGGAAUUACUGGGCGUAAAGGGCGCGUAGGCGGCUUAUCAAGUCAGGCGUGAAAUUCCCGGGCUCAACCUGGGGGCUGCGCUUGAUACUGAUUGGCUUGAAUGCGGGAGAGGAUAGUGGAAUUCCCAGUGUAGAGGUGAAAUACGUAGAGAUUGGGAAGAACACCAGUGGCGAAGGCGGCUAUCUGGACGGUUUCUGACGCUAAGACGCGAAAGCGUGGGGAGCAAACAGG